AAUGAACGCUGGCGGCGCGCCUAAUACAUGCAAGUCGAGCGAGAAGACGUAGCAAUACGUUUGUAAAGCGGCGAACGGGUGAGGAAUACAUGGGUAACCUACCCUCGAGUGGGGAAUAACUAGCCGAAAGGUUAGCUAAUACCGCGUACGCUCCUUGGACUUCGGUUCAGGGAGGAAAGCGAUACCGUGGGUAUCGCGCUCUUGGUUGGGCUCAUGUCCUAUCAGCUUGUUGGUGAGGUAACGGCUCACCAAGGCUUCGACGGGUAGCUGGUCUGAGAGGACGAUCAGCCACACUGGCACUGCGACACGGGCCAGACUCCUACGGGAGGCAGCAGUAAGGAAUAUUGCGCAAUGGGCGAAAGCCUGACGCAGCGACGCCGCGUGGGGGAGUGAA
Molecule: ribosomal RNA, 394 nt
Filed under: uncultured bacterium
Lineage: Bacteria
Description: bacterial SSU rRNA
Rfam family: Bacterial small subunit ribosomal RNA
Source: RNAcentral